This 749-nucleotide ribosomal RNA is filed under the name uncultured Capnocytophaga sp. RNAcentral's name for it is "bacterial SSU rRNA". It matches the Rfam family "Bacterial small subunit ribosomal RNA", at positions 28 to 776 of the family's 1533-position model. The record is from RNAcentral. Lineage: Bacteria; Pseudomonadati; Bacteroidota; Flavobacteriia; Flavobacteriales; Flavobacteriaceae.
GAUGAACGCUAGCGGCAGGCCUAACACAUGCAAGUCGAGGGAGAGGUCAUCUUCGGGUAACCAAAACCGGCGCACGGGUGCGUAACGCGUAUACAAUCUGCCUUUCACAUAGGGAUAGCCCGAAGAAAUUUGGAUUAAUACCUAAUGGUAUAUAGGAGCGGCAUCGUUUUUAUAUUAAAGCUACGGUGGUGAAAGAUGAGUAUGCGUUCUAUUAGCUAGUUGGAGAGGUAACGGCUCCCCAAGGCGACGAUAGAUAGGGGUUCUGAGAGGGAUGUCCCCCACACUGGUACUGAGAUACGGACCAGACUCCUACGGGAGGCAGCAGUGAGGAAUAUUGGACAAUGGUCGGAAGACUGAUCCAGCCAUGCCGCGUGCAGGAUGAAGGUCCUAUGGAUUGUAAACUGCUUUUGUAAGGGAAGAAUAAGGAGUACGUGUACUUUGAUGACGGUACCUUACGAAUAAGCAUCGGCUAACUCCGUGCCAGCAGCCGCGGUAAUACGGAGGAUGCGAGCGUUAUCCGGAAUCAUUGGGUUUAAAGGGUCCGUAGGCGGGCUGAUAAGUCAGAGGUGAAAGCGCUUAGCUCAACUAAGCAACUGCCUUUGAAACUGUCAGUCUUGAAUGAUUGUGAAGUAGUUGGAAUGUGUAGUGUAGCGGUGAAAUGCUUAGAUAUUACACAGAACACCGAUAGCGAAGGCAUAUUACUAACAAUUUAUUGACGCUGAUGGACGAAAGCGUGGGGAGCGAACAGG